Molecule: long non-coding RNA, 1958 nt
Organism: Oncorhynchus tshawytscha (Chinook salmon)
Lineage: Eukaryota; Metazoa; Chordata; Actinopteri; Salmoniformes; Salmonidae
Source: Ensembl
CAGAGAGAGUACCAGGGUUAAGGAUAGCUGUAACUGGUGUGGAAUGGAGGGAGGUGGAGCAGAGAGAGGGUACCAGGGUUAAGGUUUGGGAUAGGUGUAACCGGUGUGCAAUGGAGGGAGGUGGAGCGGAGAGAGGGUACCAGGGUUAAGGUUUGGGAUAGGUGUAACCGGUGUGGAAUGGAGGGAGGUGGAGCGGAGAGAGGGUACCAGGGUUAAGGUUUGGGAUAGGUGUAACCGGUGUGGAAUGGAGGGAGGUGGAGCGGAGAGAGGGUACCAGGGUUAAGGUUUAGGAUAGGUGUAACCGGUGUGGAAUGGAGGGAGGUGGAGCAGAGAGAGGGUACCAGGGUUAAGGUUUGGGAUAGGUGUAACCGGUGUGAAAUGGAGGGAGGUGGAGCAGAGAGAGGGUACGAGGGUUUGGGAUAGGUGUAACAUGUGAAAUGGAGGGAGGUGGAGCAGAGAGAGGGUACCAGGGUUAAGGUUUGGGAUAGCUGUAACUGGUGUGGAAUGGAGGGAGGUGGAGCAGAGAGAGGGUACCAGGGUUAAGGAUAGGUGUAACCUGUGUGAAAUGGAGGGACGUGGUGCAGAGAGAGGGUACCAGGGUUAAGGAUAGGUGUAACCUGUGUGAAAUGGAGGGAGGUGGAUUAGAGAGAGGGUACCAGGGUUAAGGUUUGGGAUAGAUGUAACCGGUGUGGAAUUGAGGGAGGUGGAGCAGAGAGAGGGUACCAGGGUUAAGGUUUGGGAUAGGUGUAACCGGUGUGAAAUGGAGGGAGGUGGAGCAGAGAGAGGGCACCAGGGUUAAGGACAGGUGUAACCUUUGUGAAAUGGAUGGAGGUGGAGCAGAGAGAGGGUACCAGGGUUAAGGAUAGGUGUAACCUGUGUGAAGUGGAGGGAGGUGGAGCAGAGAGAGGGCACCAGGGUUAAGGACAGUGUAACCUUUGUGAAAUGGAUGGAGGUGGAGCAGAGAGAGGGUACCAGGGUUAAGGAUAGGUGUAACCUGUGUGAAGUGGAGGGAGGUGGAGCAGAGAGAAGGUACCAGGGUUAAGGUUUGGGAUAGGUGUAACCUGUGUGAAAUGGAGGAAGGUGGAGCAGAGAGAGGGUACCAGGGUUAAGGUUUGGGAUAGGUGUAACCGGUGUGGAAUGGAGGGAGGUGGAGCAGAGAGAGGGUACCAUGGUUAAGGUUUGGGAUAGGUGUAACCGGUGUGGAAUGGAGGGAGGUGGAGCAGAGAGAGGGAACCAGGGUUAAGGAUAGGUGUAACCUGUGUGAAAUGGAGGGAGGUGGAGCAGAGAGAGGGUACCAGGGUUUGGGAUAGGUGUAACCUGUGUGGAAUGGAGGGAGGUGGAGCAGAGAGAGGGAACCAGGGUUAAGGAUAGGUGUAACCUGCGUGAAAUGGAGGGAGGUGGAGCAGAGAGAGGGUACCAGGGUUUGGGAUAGGUGUAACCUGUGUGAAAUGGAGGAAGGUGGAGCAGAGAGAGGGUACCAAGGUUAAGGAUAGGUGUAACCUGUGUGAAAUGGAGGGAGGUGGAGCAGAGAGAGGGUACCAGGGUUUGGGAUAGGUGUAACUGGUGUGAAAUGGAGGGAGGUGAAGCAGAGAGAGGGUACCAGGGUUAAGGAUAGCUGUAACCGGUGUGGAAUGGAGGGAGGUGGAGCAGAGAGAAGGGGGAGUCAGAGAGAGGGUACCAGGGUUAAGGUUUGGGAUAGCUGAGCAGAGAGAAGGGGGAGUCAGAGAGAGGGUACCAGGGUUAAGGUUUGGGAUAGGUGUAACCGGUGUGGAAUGGAGGGAGGUGGAGCAGAGAGAGGGUACCAGGGUUAAGGAUAGCUGUAACCUGUGUGGAAUGGAGGGAGGUGGAGCAGAGAGAAGGGGGAGUCAGAGAGAGGGUACCAGGGUUAAGGUUUGGGAUAGGUGUAACCGGUGUGGAAUGGAGGGAGGUGGAGCAGAGAGAGGGUACCAGGGUUAAGG